This 2892-nucleotide ribosomal RNA is filed under the name Escherichia coli. Its description in RNAcentral is "bacterial LSU rRNA". It matches the Rfam family "Bacterial large subunit ribosomal RNA". Lineage: Bacteria; Pseudomonadati; Pseudomonadota; Gammaproteobacteria; Enterobacterales; Enterobacteriaceae. The record is from RNAcentral.
ACUAAGCGUACACGGUGGAUGCCCUGGCAGUCAGAGGCGAUGAAGGACGUGCUAAUCUGCGAUAAGCGUCGGUAAGGUGAUAUGAACCGUUAUAACCGGCGAUUUCCGAAUGGGGAAACCCAGUGUGAUUCGUCACACUAUCAUUAACUGAAUCCAUAGGUUAAUGAGGCGAACCGGGGGAACUGAAACAUCUAAGUACCCCGAGGAAAAGAAAUCAACCGAGAUUCCCCCAGUAGCGGCGAGCGAACGGGGAGGAGCCCAGAGCCUGAAUCAGUGUGUGUGUUAGUGGAAGCGUCUGGAAAGGCGCGCGAUACAGGGUGACAGCCCCGUACACAAAAAUGCACAUACUGUGAGCUCGAUGAGUAGGGCGGGACACGUGGUAUCCUGUCUGAAUAUGGGGGGACCAUCCUCCAAGGCUAAAUACUCCUGACUGACCGAUAGUGAACCAGUACCGUGAGGGAAAGGCGAAAAGAACCCCGGCGAGGGGAGUGAAAAAGAACCUGAAACCGUGUACGUACAAGCAGUGGGAGCCUCUUUUAUGGGGUGACUGCGUACCUUUUGUAUAAUGGGUCAGCGACUUAUAUUCUGUAGCAAGGUUAACCGAAUAGGGGAGCCGAAGGGAAACCGAGUCUUAACUGGGCGUUAAGUUGCAGGGUAUAGACCCGAAACCCGGUGAUCUAGCCAUGGGCAGGUUGAAGGUUGGGUAACACUAACUGGAGGACCGAACCGACUAAUGUUGAAAAAUUAGCGGAUGACUUGUGGCUGGGGGUGAAAGGCCAAUCAAACCGGGAGAUAGCUGGUUCUCCCCGAAAGCUAUUUAGGUAGCGCCUCGUGAAUUCAUCUCCGGGGGUAGAGCACUGUUUCGGCAAGGGGGUCAUCCCGACUUACCAACCCGAUGCAAACUGCGAAUACCGGAGAAUGUUAUCACGGGAGACACACGGCGGGUGCUAACGUCCGUCGUGAAGAGGGAAACAACCCAGACCGCCAGCUAAGGUCCCAAAGUCAUGGUUAAGUGGGAAACGAUGUGGGAAGGCCCAGACAGCCAGGAUGUUGGCUUAGAAGCAGCCAUCAUUUAAAGAAAGCGUAAUAGCUCACUGGUCGAGUCGGCCUGCGCGGAAGAUGUAACGGGGCUAAACCAUGCACCGAAGCUGCGGCAGCGACACUGUGUGUUGUUGGGUAGGGGAGCGUUCUGUAAGCCUGUGAAGGUGUGCUGUGAGGCAUGCUGGAGGUAUCAGAAGUGCGAAUGCUGACAUAAGUAACGAUAAAGCGGGUGAAAAGCCCGCUCGCCGGAAGACCAAGGGUUCCUGUCCAACGUUAAUCGGGGCAGGGUGAGUCGACCCCUAAGGCGAGGCCGAAAGGCGUAGUCGAUGGGAAACAGGUUAAUAUUCCUGUACUUGGUGUUACUGCGAAGGGGGGACGGAGAAGGCUAUGUUGGCCGGGCGACGGUUGUCCCGGUUUAAGCGUGUAGGCUGGUUUUCCAGGCAAAUCCGGAAAAUCAAGGCUGAGGCGUGAUGACGAGGCACUACGGUGCUGAAGCAACAAAUGCCCUGCUUCCAGGAAAAGCCUCUAAGCAUCAGGUAACAUCAAAUCGUACCCCAAACCGACACAGGUGGUCAGGUAGAGAAUACCAAGGCGCUUGAGAGAACUCGGGUGAAGGAACUAGGCAAAAUGGUGCCGUAACUUCGGGAGAAGGCACGCUGAUAUGUAGGUGAAGUCCCUCGCGGAUGGAGCUGAAAUCAGUCGAAGAUACCAGCUGGCUGCAACUGUUUAUUAAAAACACAGCACUGUGCAAACACGAAAGUGGACGUAUACGGUGUGACGCCUGCCCGGUGCCGGAAGGUUAAUUGAUGGGGUCAGCGCAAGCGAAGCUCUUGAUCGAAGCCCCGGUAAACGGCGGCCGUAACUAUAACGGUCCUAAGGUAGCGAAAUUCCUUGUCGGGUAAGUUCCGACCUGCACGAAUGGCGUAAUGAUGGCCAGGCUGUCUCCACCCGAGACUCAGUGAAAUUGAACUCGCUGUGAAGAUGCAGUGUACCCGCGGCAAGACGGAAAGACCCCGUGAACCUUUACUAUAGCUUGACACUGAACAUUGAGCCUUGAUGUGUAGGAUAGGUGGGAGGCUUUGAAGUGUGGACGCCAGUCUGCAUGGAGCCGACCUUGAAAUACCACCCUUUAAUGUUUGAUGUUCUAACGUGGACCCGUGAUCCGGGUUGCGGACAGUGUCUGGUGGGUAGUUUGACUGGGGCGGUCUCCUCCUAAAGAGUAACGGAGGAGCACGAAGGUUGGCUAAUCCUGGUCGGACAUCAGGAGGUUAGUGCAAUGGCAUAAGCCAGCUUGACUGCGAGCGUGACGGCGCGAGCAGGUGCGAAAGCAGGUCAUAGUGAUCCGGUGGUUCUGAAUGGAAGGGCCAUCGCUCAACGGAUAAAAGGUACUCCGGGGAUAACAGGCUGAUACCGCCCAAGAGUUCAUAUCGACGGCGGUGUUUGGCACCUCGAUGUCGGCUCAUCACAUCCUGGGGCUGAAGUAGGUCCCAAGGGUAUGGCUGUUCGCCAUUUAAAGUGGUACGCGAGCUGGGUUUAGAACGUCGUGAGACAGUUCGGUCCCUAUCUGCCGUGGGCGCUGGAGAACUGAGGGGGGCUGCUCCUAGUACGAGAGGACCGGAGUGGACGCAUCACUGGUGUUCGGGUUGUCAUGCCAAUGGCACUGCCCGGUAGCUAAAUGCGGAAGAGAUAAGUGCUGAAAGCAUCUAAGCACGAAACUUGCCCCGAGAUGAGUUCUCCCUGACCCUUUAAGGGUCCUGAAGGAACGUUGAAGACGACGACGUUGAUAGGCCGGGUGUGUAAGCGCAGCGAUGCGUUGAGCUAACCGGUACUAAUGAACCGUGAGGCUUAACC